UACGUAGGUGACCAGCGUUGUCCGGAUUUACUGGGCGUAAAGAGCGCGCAGGCGGUCGUUCAAGUCGAGUGUGAAAGCCCCCGGCUCAACUGGGGAGGGUCACUCGAUACUGAUCGACUUGAAGGCAGGAGAGGGAAGCGGAAUUCCCGGUGUAGUGGUGAAAUGCGUAGAGAUUAGGAAGAACACCAGUGGCGAAGGCGACUUACUGGACUGUAACUGACGCUGAGGCAUGAAAGCGUGGGGAGCAAACAGG
This 253-nucleotide ribosomal RNA is filed under the name uncultured bacterium. RNAcentral's name for it is "partial 16S ribosomal RNA". It matches the Rfam family "Bacterial small subunit ribosomal RNA", at positions 524 to 776 of the family's 1533-position model. The record is from RNAcentral.